RNAcentral lists this ribosomal RNA (254 nucleotides) under uncultured bacterium. Its description in RNAcentral is "partial 16S ribosomal RNA". It matches the Rfam family "Bacterial small subunit ribosomal RNA", at positions 524 to 776 of the family's 1533-position model. The record is from RNAcentral.
UACGAAGGGGGCUAGCGUUGUUCGGAAUCACUGGGCGUAAAGCGCGCGCAGGCGGAUCGUUAAGUCAGGGGUGAAAUCCCGAGGCUCAACCUCGGAACUGCCUCUGAUACUGGCGAUCUUUGAGUCCGGGAGAGGUGAGUGGAACUCCGAGUGUAGAGGUGAAAUUCGUAGAUAUUCGGAAGAACACCAGUGGCGAAGGCGGCUCACUGGCCCGGUACUGACGCUCAAGUGCGAAAGCGUGGGGAGCAAACAGG